UACGGAGGGUGCAAGCGUUAUCCGGAUUUACUGGGUUUAAAGGGUGCGUAGGCGGGCUUUUAAGUCAGCGGUGAAAUCUCCGGGCUCAACCCGGAAAUUGCCGUUGAUACUAUUAGUCUUGAAUUAAGUUGAGGUGGGCGGAAUAUGUCAUGUAGCGGUGAAAUGCUUAGAUAUGACAUAGAACACCGAUAGCGGAGGCAGCUUACUACGCGAUUAUUGACACUGAGGCACGAAAGCGUGGGGAUCAAACAGG
RNAcentral lists this ribosomal RNA (253 nucleotides) under uncultured bacterium. Its description in RNAcentral is "partial 16S ribosomal RNA". It matches the Rfam family "Bacterial small subunit ribosomal RNA", at positions 524 to 776 of the family's 1533-position model. The record is from RNAcentral.